Molecule: transfer RNA, 70 nt
Filed under: Paradoxurus jerdoni (Jerdon's palm civet)
Lineage: Eukaryota; Metazoa; Chordata; Mammalia; Carnivora; Viverridae
Description: tRNA-Arg
Rfam family: tRNA
About the family: Transfer RNA (tRNA) molecules are approximately 80 nucleotides in length. Their secondary structure includes four short double-helical elements and three loops (D, anti-codon, and T loops). Further hydrogen bonds mediate the characteristic L-shaped molecular structure. tRNAs have two regions of fundamental functional importance: the anti-codon, which is responsible for specific mRNA codon recognition, and the 3' end, to which the tRNAs corresponding amino acid is attached (by aminoacyl-tRNA synthetases). tRNAs cope with the degeneracy of the genetic code in two manners: having more than one tRNA (with a specific anti-codon) for a particular amino acid; and 'wobble' base-pairing, i.e. permitting non-standard base-pairing at the 3rd anti-codon position.
Source: RNAcentral
UGAUAAUUAGUUUAAACCAAAAACAAAUGAUUUCGACUCAUUAAAUUAUAGUUAGAACUAUAAUUAUCAA